This 459-nucleotide ribosomal RNA is filed under the name uncultured bacterium. RNAcentral's name for it is "partial 16S ribosomal RNA". It matches the Rfam family "Bacterial small subunit ribosomal RNA", at positions 338 to 795 of the family's 1533-position model. The record is from RNAcentral.
CCUACGGGGGGCAGCAGUGAGGAAUAUUGGUCAAUGGGCGGAAGCCUGAACCAGCCAAGUAGCGUGCGGGAUGAAGGCCCUACGGGCCGUAAACCGCUUUUGCACGGGGAUAACACCCUCCACUUGUGGAGGUCUGCAGGUACCGUGCGAAUAAGGGCCGGCUAAUUCCGUGCCAGCAGCCGCGGUAAUACGGAAGGCCCGAGCGUUAUCCGGUUUAAUUGGGCUUAAGGGGAGCGUAGGCGGUUGUUCAAGUCAGCUGGAAAAUCCGGCGGCCCAACCGCGGCCCGCAGUUGAAACUGGACUCCGUGAGUACACGAGAGGCAGGCGGAAUUCGUGGUGGAGCGGUGAAAUGCAUAGAUAUCACGAGGAACCCCGAUUGCGAAGGCAGCCUGCCGGGGUGCAACUGACGCUGAGGCUCGAAGGUGUGGGUAUCAAACAGGAUUAGAUACCCGGGUAGUC